Molecule: ribosomal RNA, 484 nt
Filed under: uncultured bacterium
Lineage: Bacteria
Description: partial 16S ribosomal RNA
Rfam family: Bacterial small subunit ribosomal RNA
Source: RNAcentral
AUUGAACGCUGGCGGCAGGCCUAACACAUGCAAGUCGAGCGGAUGAAGGGAGCUUGCUCCUGGAUUCAGCGGCGGACGGGUGAGUAAUGCCUAGGAAUCUGCCUGGUAGUGGGGGAUAACGUCCGGAAACGGGCGCUAAUACCGCAUACGUCCUGAGGGAGAAAGUGGGGGAUCUUCGGACCUCACGCUAUCAGAUGAGCCUAGGUCGGAUUAGCUAGUUGGUGUGGUAAAUGCUUACCAAGGCGACGAUCCGUAACUGGUCUGAGAGGAUGAUCAGUCACACUGGAACUGAGACACGGUCCAGACUCCUACGGGAGGCAGCAGUGGGGAAUAUUGGACAAUGGGCGAAAGCCUGAUCCAGCCAUGCCGCGUGUGUGAAGAAGGUCUUCGGAUUGUAAAGCACUUUAAGUUGGGAGGAAGGGCAGUAAGUUAAUACCUUGAUGUUUUGACGUUACCAACAGAAUAAGCACCGGCUAACUUCGUG